GGGAUGUAGCUCAGUUGGUUAGAGCAGCGAACUCAUAAUUCGUUAGUCCACGGUUCAAGUCCGUGCGUCCCC
This 72-nucleotide transfer RNA is filed under the name Aeriscardovia aeriphila. It matches the Rfam family "tRNA". From Rfam's summary of the family: Transfer RNA (tRNA) molecules are approximately 80 nucleotides in length. Their secondary structure includes four short double-helical elements and three loops (D, anti-codon, and T loops). The record is from RNAcentral. Lineage: Bacteria; Bacillati; Actinomycetota; Actinomycetes; Bifidobacteriales; Bifidobacteriaceae.